GUCUUUAAGAAAAAAGGGGAAGGUUAAUAUUUUCCUUGACAAAAAUGAAAGAGCUCCUUGGACUCUUUCAAGACACCUAGAGUUAAGUAAUUGCCACCUACUUUGUGAAAUCUACCAAGGUUAUUUU
Small nuclear RNA from Tupaia belangeri (northern tree shrew), 127 nucleotides. The record is from Ensembl. NCBI's taxonomy places the organism in Eukaryota, Metazoa, Chordata, Mammalia, Scandentia, Tupaiidae.